UACGGAGGAGGCAAGCGUUAUCCGGAAUUAUUGGGCGGAAAGCGUCCGCAGGUGGCGAUUCAAGUCUGCGGGCAAAGACUGGGGCUUAACCCUGGAAAGGCCGUGGAAACUGAAUAGCUAGAGUGCAGUAGGGGUAGAGGGAAUUCCCGGUGUAGCGGUGAAAUGCGUAGAGCUCGGGAAGAACAUCGGUGGCGAAAGCGCUCUGCUGGACUGCAACUGACACUCAGGGACGAAAGCUAGGGGAGCGAAUGGG
RNAcentral lists this ribosomal RNA (253 nucleotides) under uncultured bacterium. RNAcentral describes it as "partial 16S ribosomal RNA". It matches the Rfam family "Bacterial small subunit ribosomal RNA", at positions 524 to 776 of the family's 1533-position model. The record is from RNAcentral.